AUUGAACGUUGGCGGCAGGCCUAACACAUGCAAGUCGAGCGGAUGAAGGGAGCUUGCUCCUGGAUUCAGCGGCGGACGGGUGGGUAAUGCCUAGGAAUCUGCCAGGUAGUGGGGGAUAACGUCCGGAAACGGGCGCUAAUACCGCAUACGUCCUGAGGGAGAAAGUGGGGGAUCUUCGGACCUCACGCUAUCAGAUGAGCCUAGGUCGGAUUAGCUAGUUGGUGGGGUAAAUGCCUACCAAGGCGACGAUCCGUAACUGGUCUGAGAGGAUGAUCAGUCACACUGGAACUGAGACACGGUCCAGACUCCUACGGGAGGCAGCAGUGGGGAAUAUUGGACAAUGGGCGAAAGCCUGAUCCAGCCAUGCCGCGUGUGUGAAGAAGGUCUUCGGAUUGUAAAGCACUUUAAGUUGGGAGGAAGGGCAGUAAGUUAAUACCUUGCUGUUUUGACGUUACCAACAGAAUAAGCACCGGCUAACUUCGUG
Molecule: ribosomal RNA, 484 nt
Filed under: uncultured bacterium
Lineage: Bacteria
Description: partial 16S ribosomal RNA
Rfam family: Bacterial small subunit ribosomal RNA
Source: RNAcentral